RNAcentral lists this unclassified non-coding RNA (21 nucleotides) under Mus musculus (house mouse). RNAcentral describes it as "oocyte_clustered_small_RNA11903". The record is from RNAcentral. Lineage: Eukaryota; Metazoa; Chordata; Mammalia; Rodentia; Muridae.
UACUGCAGCCUGCUCCCAAAG